GACGAACGCUGGCGGCGUGCCUAAUACAUGCAAGUCGAACGCAGUGGGGACGGGUGAGUAACACGUGGGUAACCUCCCAUCAGAGGGGAUAACACUUGGAAACAGGUGCUAAACCGAUACUGAUGGAUGGACCCCCGGUGCAUUAGUUAGUUGGUGAGGUAACGGCUCACCACGGCCACGAUGCAUAGCCGACUUGAGAGGGUGAUCGGCCACACUGGGACUGAGACACGGCGCAGACUCCUAAGGGAGGCAGCAGUAGGGAAUAUUAGGAAAUGGACGAAAGUCUGACCGAGCAACGCCGCGUGAGUGAAGAAGGUGUUCGGAUCGUAAAGCUCUGUGGUUAAGGAAGCGGUACUUAACCAGAAAGGGACGGCGAACUACGUGCCAGCAGCCGCGGUAAUAC
This 403-nucleotide ribosomal RNA is filed under the name uncultured bacterium. RNAcentral's name for it is "partial 16S ribosomal RNA". It matches the Rfam family "Bacterial small subunit ribosomal RNA", at positions 28 to 526 of the family's 1533-position model. The record is from RNAcentral.